Molecule: non-coding RNA, 161 nt
Filed under: Phaethon lepturus (White-tailed tropicbird)
Lineage: Eukaryota; Metazoa; Chordata; Aves; Phaethontiformes; Phaethontidae
Source: Rfam by way of RNAcentral
CAAGGAGUCUCAUUUGUAGGGCAUUUGGAUAAAAUGAAGUGUGUGUAAUGUGUCAUGCAUUAGACAUCAUGUGCGUUUGUGAUUGGGAUUGGAGAUUGCAGUUAUUCCCCAUGAAUGAGGAAUUCCCAGUAAGUGUGGGGCAUAAAUUCACUUUGAUUAAG